RNAcentral lists this ribosomal RNA (269 nucleotides) under uncultured Pseudomonas sp. Its description in RNAcentral is "partial 16S ribosomal RNA". It matches the Rfam family "Bacterial small subunit ribosomal RNA", at positions 1121 to 1382 of the family's 1533-position model. The record is from RNAcentral. Lineage: Bacteria; Pseudomonadati; Pseudomonadota; Gammaproteobacteria; Pseudomonadales; Pseudomonadaceae.
GCACGUUAUGGUGGGCGACUCUAAGGAGGACUGCCGGUCGGACAAACCGGAACGGGAAGGUGGGGAUGACGUCAAGUCAUCAUGGCCCUUACGGCCUGGGCUACACACGUGCUACAAUGGUCGGUACAAAGGGUUGCCAAGCCGCGAGGUGGAGCUAAUCCCAUAAAACCGAUCGUAGUCCGGAUCGCAGUCUGCAACUCGACUGCGUGAAGUCGGAAUCGCUAGUAAUCGUGAAUCAGAAUGUCACGGUGAAUACGUUCCCGGGCCUU